AUUGAACGCUGGCGGCAGGCCUAACACAUGCAAGUCGAACGAGUGGCGGACGGGUGAGUAAUGUCUGGGAAACUGCCUGAUGGAGGGGGAUCACUACUGGAAACGGUAGCUAAUACCGCAUACCAUCGGAUGUGCCCAGCUGGGAUUAGCUAGUAGGUGGGGUAAAGGCUCACCUAGGCGACGAUCCCUAGCCGGUCUGAGAGGAUGACCGGCCACACGGGAACUGAUACGCGGUCCGGACUCCUACGGGAGGCAGAAGUGGGGAGUAUUGCACAAUGGGGGCAAGCCUGAUGCGGCCAUGCCGCGUGUAUGAAGAAGGCCUUCGGGUUGUAAAGUACUUUCAGCGGGGAGGCGGUACCCGCAGAAGAAGCACCGGCUAACUCCGUGCCAGCAGCCGCGGUAAUAC
This 406-nucleotide ribosomal RNA is filed under the name uncultured bacterium. Its description in RNAcentral is "partial 16S ribosomal RNA". It matches the Rfam family "Bacterial small subunit ribosomal RNA", at positions 29 to 526 of the family's 1533-position model. The record is from RNAcentral.